Long non-coding RNA from Gallus gallus (chicken), 265 nucleotides. The record is from Ensembl. Lineage: Eukaryota; Metazoa; Chordata; Aves; Galliformes; Phasianidae.
GCUUAAUUCUGCUUAAUUGCUCAGCUCUCUUUUAACUACCAGUUUCAUCUCUACACGCAAAAGGACUGUAUAUGAGGGAUUCAAAGAAGAUGGAGUGGAGCAGAGUAUCUGCUGUCCUGGCUGUGCCUUCUUUCCUGCUGCCUGGGUGAAAGUCCACAGGAACCAGGCUGAUAUCCCAUUGAGAUACCUAUUGGCCCAAUUACUCCUUGUGAAAUCAGAGUUCAAGCUGACAACAACGAGUUAUGCAAACACCAAUAUGUUAUCC